GAUGAACGCUGGCGGCGUGCCUAAUACAUGCAAGUCGAGCGAACGGACGAGAAGCUUGCUUCUCUGAUGUUAGCGGCGGACGGGUGAGUAACACGUGGAUAACCUACCUAUAAGACUGGGAUAACUUCGGGAAACCGGAGCUAAUACCGGCUAAUAUUUUGAACCGCAUGGUUCAAAAGUGAAAGACGGUCUUGCUGUUACUUAUAGAUGGAUCCGCGUUGCAUUAGCUAGUUGGUAAGGUAACGGCUUACCAAGGCAACGAUGCAUAGCCGACCUGAGAGGGUGAUCGGCCACACUGGAACUGAGACACGGUCCAGACUCCUACGGGAGGCAGCAGUAGGGAAUAUUCCACAAUGGGCGCAAGCCUGACGGAGCAACGCCGCGUGAGUGAUGAAGGUCUUCGGAUCGUAAAACUCUGUUAUUAGGGAAGAACAUAUGUGUAAGUAACUGUGCACAUCUUGACGGUACCUAAUGAGAAAGCCACGGCUAACUACGUG
Molecule: ribosomal RNA, 497 nt
Filed under: uncultured bacterium
Lineage: Bacteria
Description: partial 16S ribosomal RNA
Rfam family: Bacterial small subunit ribosomal RNA
Source: RNAcentral